GCUCCGAUGGAGGGGGAUAACUACUGGAAACGGUAGCUAAUACCGCAUAACGUCGCAAGACCAAAGAGGGGGACCUUCGGGCCUCUUGCCAUCGGAUGUGCCCAGAUGGGAUUAGCUAGUAGGUGGGGUAACGGCUCACCUAGGCGACGAUCCCUAGCUGGUCUGAGAGGAUGACCAGCCACACUGGAACUGAGACACGGUCCAG
Molecule: ribosomal RNA, 205 nt
Filed under: uncultured bacterium
Lineage: Bacteria
Description: partial 16S ribosomal RNA
Rfam family: Bacterial small subunit ribosomal RNA
Source: RNAcentral